AUGGAGAACCCCGACGGGCAAGCGGGAGCCGACGCGGGGCUGCCCCCGCCCCCACCGCCGCCCCUGGACGCCGCAGCGGGGGCGGGCCUGGGCGGCGACCCGGCCGAGGUCCUCCCGCCGCCGCCCCCGCACCUCCCGGGGGGCGCCCCGCACGAAGUGGCGGCGCAGGGGCCCGACGGAUCCGCGUACCCGGCCGAGCACGCCGCGCUGAACGGGACCUCCGGCGACGCGGCGGGCUACCAGGCCGCGGAGAACGGCGCCGCCGCCGACGAGAUGGCCGACCCCAUGGUGCCCGAGCAGUCGUACGAGGAUGCCGUGGGUUCUGCUGAAGAGGCUAGGUUAUGGGGUAUCGUCACUGCAGAUUGCUUAGACUUUGAUGCUUGGACCGCGCUUAUUGAGGAGACAGAGAGGAUCGCUGAGAGCAACAUAUUGAAGAUACGCAAAGUGUAUGAUGCCUUCCUUGCGGAGUUCCCUCUGUGCUUUGGCUAUUGGAAGAAAUACGCAGAUCAUGAAGGCCGUCUAGAUGGUGUCAAUAAAGUUUUUGAGGUGUAUGAACGGGCAGUUCUUGCAGUUACUUAUUCAGUGGACAUAUGGUGUAAUUAUUGUCAGUUUGCGAUUUCAACAUACAACGACCCAGAUGUCAUCAGAAGACUGUUUGAUCGGGGUUUGGCAUAUGUUGGAACAGAUUAUCGUUCCAAUACUUUGUGGGAUGAGUACAUCAAGUAUGAGGAAUCACUUCAAGCAUGGAGUCAUCUAGCUGUGGUAUACACAAGAAUAUUAGAGCACCCUAUACAGCAGCUUGAUCGGUACUUUAAUUGCUUGAAGGAGUUGACUGCAACACGGAGCCUGUCAGAAAUACUUACUGCUGAGGAAACUUCCAUGUAUUGUCUUACUGUUGAGAAUAGUGCUCAGGUACUUGAUGGGGAGGCACAUCCUAAUGAUGUAGAAAAAACUGCAGAGCCUGAAGUUUCAUCUUCAACAGAAGCAGAGGACAAGGCAAAAUAUAUUUCCAUUAGAGAAGAGUUGUAUACGAAGGCCAAAGAGUAUGAAUUUAAGAUUAGUAGUUUUGAGCAUGCUAUUAGAAGACCAUACUUUCAUGUCAAGCCUCUUGACAAACCAGAGCUUGAAAAUUGGCACAGCUAUCUUGAUUUUAUCGAGAAGGAAGAAGACAUUAAUAAGGUUAUCAAGUUAUAUGAAAGAUGUGUUAUUGCGUGUGCUAGCUAUUCAGAAUUCUGGAUCCGCUAUGUGCAAUGCAUGGAGGAUAGACAAAGCCUAGAACUAGCAAACAAUGCUCUUGCUCGUGCCACUCAUGUGUUUGUCAAGAAGCAGACAGAGAUCCAUCUGUUCAGUGCAAGAUUCAAGGAGCUUACUGGUGAUACUGAUGGAGCACGUGCAGAGUAUCAACAUCUCCACUCAGUGUUAUACCCUGGCCUCCUCGAAGCCAUUGUGAAGCAUGCUAAUAUGGAGCACCGGCUGGGAGAUAAGGAAUCUGCUUGUUUAGUCUAUGAGAAAGCCAUUGCUGCUGAAAAGGAGAAGGAGCAGAGCCAGCUUUUACCAAUGCUACUGAUCCAGUACUCACGUUUCUUAUAUAUGGUCGGUGACUUGGAAAAGGCAAGGGAGAUCUCAGGUGGACUGCACGGGCUAGCUAACCUUACUAAACCAGUUCUUGAGGCUGUCAUCUUUCUUGAGUCGAUCUUCCAAUCUGAGAAGCGUAUUGAUUUGUUAGAAUCACUGGUGGAGAAGUUUCUUACAGCUGAACAGACUCAAGGGGAGCUGGCAAGCUUAAGUGACAAAGAAGAAUUAUCUUCCAUAUAUUUAGAGUUUUUGGAUACGUUUGGGGAUGUACAGUCAAUCAAGAAGGCUACAACUCGACAUACUAUUCUCUUUUCACGUAAAAGGAGCAUUCUGCCAUCAAAGAAACGAAGAGCAGAUGAUGCUGUCAUGUCCGGUAGAGAUAAAAUGGCUAAAACCGGAGAUGGCACCCAACCAGGCAUGGGAACUGAUCCGAAUGCUCAUAAUCCUGCAGUUUGGCCUGUGACUUCUGAAGCAUCAGCGCAGCAAUGGGGGGCUGCUUACGCACAACAGGCUGCUUAUCCUGCAUAUGGAGCUUACGACUACAGCCAACAAAUGCCCCAAUCGGCUCCUCAAGCAGCCGCUUAUGGUGCCUAUCCUCCCACAUACCCUGCCCAGGCCUACCCGCAGCAGAGCUAUGCACAACCUGCAGCGAUGCCCGUGGCAGCAGCAGUGCCCACCCCAGCACAGGCGCCGGCACCCGCAGCAGCUUACCCUCAGCAACCUGCCGUGGCUGCCGCCCCCCAAGCUUACUACGGCGGCGCCGCCACGUACUACUGA
This 2352-nucleotide ribosomal RNA is filed under the name Triticum aestivum (bread wheat). RNAcentral describes it as "partial small subunit ribosomal RNA". The record is from RNAcentral. Lineage: Eukaryota; Viridiplantae; Streptophyta; Magnoliopsida; Poales; Poaceae.